AUUUCAAAUCCAGUUAUUAAAAAUCUUCCCCUUCACUUUGUUCUGUCUGCCUUUUCAAGGUAUGUGCAUGACUUUAGCUAAAUUAGGAGUGUUUGUGAAUUACUUGAAGGAAAGAAAAAGGUUAAAAAUCCUGUCUCCUCUCUCUCUUGCCCUAGCACUUUCUAAAUAUAAAGCUCCUCAUGGAUGGCCACUUCAGUAGCAGGAGAAUGUUCUCUUAAGUUCAGUUCUCCUUUCUUGUCAGUCUCCCUCCUUAUUUCCUAGAAAACCUUUCUGCUGUUUGUCUGUGUUGGUGGCUGAGGCUCAGAAACUCCUACCCACCUUUCACUCAAGUUGGCGCCGGCUCUCAAACCGAAGGGAAGGAGUUCCUGUUGUGAGUCCAGAUGUUUGUGCUCGCAUCACUGCGACUCGCCAUCAAGUCUGAGCAUUGUGCGACAUUAAAUCUGUCCUCGAGGCCUGGAAGGGAAGCCCAUCUUGAUAAGAGUUCAGUGUCCUCAGAGUGAAAUAGCCGAAAGGGGGGAAGAAGCACCAUCUUCAUGAACUAUGAUCCCAUUGCUGUUUAUUUCUGUGCUUCAUUUACGCUGGCAUUUAACACAAGUGUGGUUUUAAAACACCUAAGAGCCCCCCUUAAAACCUAAGUAACUGGCAAAUGGUUAGAAUAAUCUAUAAAGCAGUUUUUUUUUUUUUUUUCCUGUAAGGAGCUUGAAGAAAAUGGGAAAACUGGCAGUUGUCUUUGUAAGGCAAAGGCAUUAUUUGUGGCUAAUCCACCGGGCCUCUGUGGAAGCUUUCACCCCCCCAUAUUGCCAGUACUUGGUGAGUGCUCAGGCAAAAUGAAGCAAAGGGUAGAGCAAUUAUCCAGAGACUGUGAACACAGAAAGACUUUAUGUUGGAUAUUUAGGCAAGAAUUCUCUAGUGUCUGCUCCUACUUGGCGAAUCCUGCAUGGGUUGUUGGCUGGCAUAGCUGGAUAGGGAUCUUCUUUACUCUUGAAGGAGCUGGCUUACCCAUCCUUUUCCUCCCAUCAUGCCUGGGAAAUUGUGUCCUCUGGCUGCUGAGGGAAGAUGGACCCUCUUGGUGAUAGUCAUCACCUUGGGCCUUUGAGAGCCAGCCUGUUUCCCCCUUGAACCAGGCCUUGUCUGCAUGAGUCCUGUCCCCUGAGAGAAGGUGUCCUUCCCAAGAAGGCACCUGUGUCAGGGCCGCACAGCCCAGAGACGGCUGGAGGAAUGGCCUGCGAGGUUGGACUCAAGGCCUAGGCGCUCUGCUGGAUAGGCCUUGAGUCCCAGGUUCUAGACAGUGUUCUUUUCUGUAACUUCUGUGUGAGUUUCUGUUUCUGCAGUUCCUGCUCUGCCCUUAUGAGUCCUCGCAGCAGCCCUUUCAUGGCAGUUAUUCAGCAGCUAUGAGGUGCCAGUCUUCUGUGACAUGCACGCUUUGACCUGAAGCCCCAGAUCAUCUUCUCAUAACUCUGUAAGAACUCUCAGUGGCUACUUCACAUUAAAAAGAUUAAAGCAGGGAAAAGAAAUUUCAGCUCGAACCAGCUCAUUAAUACUAGUUACCCUGUAGGCAUAAAGAAUUCUUAAGUUUUAAACAUUUCUUCCUUUUUUUUUUUUUGGCUUUUGUCUUUUUAGGGCUGUACCUGUGGCAUAUGGAAGUUCCCAGACUAGGGGUUAAAUUGCAGCUGUAGCUGCCAGCCUACGCCACAGUCACAGCAAUUCCAGAUGCGAGCUGUGUCUGUGACCUACACCACAGUUCAUGGCAAGGCCGGAUCCUUAACCCAGUGAGCAGGGCCAGGGAUCGAACCCAUGUCCUCAUGGAUACUAGUUGGAUUCAUUAACCACUGAGCCACGAUGGGAACUCCUCUUUCUUUCUUUGCCCAUGGCAUGCGAAUUCCCCAGGCCAGGGGUCAGACCCAUGCCACAGCAGCAUCUUAAUGGUUACAACACCAGAUCCUUAACCUACUAGGCCAUCAGGGAACUCCUCUUGUUUUUUUUUUUUUUUUUAAUGAACGGCAAGUUGAGUUGGGUGGCAUUCAGAUAUUUCUUGAAAUAGUAAUAAAUUUUAAAAAGAUUUUUUCUAGGGAGUUCCUGCUGUCGUGGGUGCAGUGGGUUAAAAAUCCAACUGCAGUGGCUCAGGUUGCUGUUCAAUCCCUGGUCCAGCACAGCGGGUUAAGGGAUCUGGCAUUGCUGCUGCUGUGGCUCAGUUUCAACCCCUGGCUUGGGAACAUCCGUUUGCCACGGGUGUGGCCAUUAAAAAAAAAAAAAAAAGAUUCUUUUUAAAAUCAAGAGUGUUAGCUACUUUCUUGGAAAAAAACAAACAGGAAUACUAAAGGACAGCAAUAGUUGGGCAGAUAUAAAUGUUAAAAAGAGAGUGGGGAUCAGUUAUACCCGUUAGUCAAAGAGAUAAGACAGGUGUAAUUGGCGUAAGCUUGAUGGAAAAAAGGACGUUUAGUAUAAGGAAAAAACUCAUUAUAAGUACAAGGAAAUUUUGGCGUUUCCCUCUUGUGCUGCUUAUGACAAUUCAAUUAUAGUAUAGUCAUAUUUCUUAUUUUGUAAUUGUUAAUUGGUUAAGGCAUAGAUCAUCUUUAUGAAAUUUUCCUCCGUGUGUGUGUGUGUGUGUGUGUGUGUUUUACUAGCUCCCUUCAUCUGGGAAAAUCUCACAACCCAGAAUUACUCUUUGUUUCCACUGCCAUGAAUGAUGUAGAAGGUUGCUUGUGAAGACAUCUCCCCACCGUUUUUUGCCCCCUAGAGUCUAAUUCUGGGGUUUUUUGUGCCUUCUUGGUUUAGUACUUGUCUCUUUUCUGAUCAUCACUGACUUUCAUGUAAGUGCAGACAGUGAGGCAGAAUCUAAGCAAAUGGAGGGGUCAAUUCAUGUUUCAUUGUAUUUUCUCUGUCCAUCACCUAUUUUAAAAGCUUAUCUGAUUGUAUAUUCUUUCAUAGUUUGCUUGGCGUUCUUACCUUUUGGUCUAGAAAGAGAGAGAAGGGGAGAGAGAGAGGCAUUUGAAGUUUGUUGCCACCUAAUGUCACCUGUGCUUCUGCAGGUGAUUUGCAUGCCACCUGGUCUCCACCAUCUCUGGGCUGUAACUCAGUAACCAUGGGUAGCCUGACUUUCAACAGCUGCUGAACCUCUUUGUCUCUAAGCAGGGGUGGUGAAGGCUAUUUUAGCAAGGAAAAUAGCAUGUGGCUUUCCAAGCUGCAUGAACUACAUCUAUUGUGACUGGAUGAAUUACAUAUUCAUGAAAACUUUGAAAUGGAAUAUCCUCCACUUGCUAAACGCUGACUUGGCCCGGCAAACAGUAUGCAGCUCUGGCUCACUCAUUUCUUUAUAUGCGCAUCGCGAUGGCAGGUUUCUAGGACAUACCGUGAGAAUAAAGCUGGGAAGAGUUCUGCAUAUCCCAGGAAAAUGGAAUUCCAUGAUGAUCACGUUUUUAUUUCAUACCAACAAGUACUUAUUAGAUGCAAUACUGUAUCAUUAGGAAAGGAAAUUGCUAAUCACAGUGAUGAAUUUUGAUGUUUCUAUUUUAUUUUAUUUUAUUUUAUUUUAUUUUAUUGUCUUUUUGGGCCACACCCAUGGCAUAUGGAGGUUCCUGGGUUAGGGGUCGAAUUGGAGCUGUAGCCGCCCGCCUACACCACAGCCAUAGCCAUGCUAGAUCUGAGCCGCAUCUGUGACCUACACCACAGCUCACAGCAGUGCCUCAUCCUUAACCCGCUGAGCGAGGCCAGAGAUCAAACCCAAGUCCUCAUGGAUACUAGUCAGGUUCGUUAACUGCUGAGCCAUGAUGGAAACACCUCUAUUUCUUUUUAAUUCCUGAUUAAUUAGCAGAGAAUCAUAGAAACUCUAUUUUAUGGAUGGAAAAAAUGAAACCAGUAACACUGAUGACCAAAGAGACUGUGACCUUUGAAAUGCUGUCCUUGGUUCUGUUCAUAGCUCAUCAGGGUGUAGUUUCAAUGCCGGUCAAGUUCAUGUACAUGCUGUUGCUCCAGCUUUUAGCCCAAUUCCUUCUCUGCCCUCAGAUCUCCCCAUUUGACAUUCUCUGCUGGGCUGGGUGUGCUGGAUGGAUGGGUCUGAUCGCAGCUGUUCACGCUUCCUCCCAGGGCUUGGUUCCUACAGGGGCUGAGGAGAGAUUCCCUUGCAACGAAGGCUCCAGAUAGGAUUUAGGGCUCUGCUCAUCAGAUGCCUUCACACAAGGCUUAAAUUCAGGAGUUCCGGGUGUGGCUCAGUGGUUAGCGGAUCCGACUAAGAACCAUGAGGUUACAGGUUCGAUCCCUGGCCUUGCUCACUGGGUUAAGGAUCUGGUGUUGCCAUGAGCUGUGGUGUAGGCCACAGACACAGCUUGGAUCCCGAGUUGCUGUGGCUGUGGCAUAGGCCAGUGGCUAUAGCUCUGAUUAGACUUCUAGCCUGGGAACCUCCAUAUGCCA
RNAcentral lists this long non-coding RNA (4407 nucleotides) under Sus scrofa (pig). RNAcentral's name for it is "lncRNA (ENSSSCG00000056169.1)". Lineage: Eukaryota; Metazoa; Chordata; Mammalia; Artiodactyla; Suidae. The record is from RNAcentral.